RNAcentral lists this long non-coding RNA (505 nucleotides) under Olea europaea subsp. europaea. The record is from RNAcentral. Lineage: Eukaryota; Viridiplantae; Streptophyta; Magnoliopsida; Lamiales; Oleaceae.
GAAAGUAAGAAUCCUUUUACAUUGCAUAAAGUAUGAAGUAUGUAAUUUAUGUGUUUCCAACACUUUUCUCUCUCUACAACCGUGUACUUAUGCAUAUGUCUUCUUUUGAUAUACAUAUAUAAAUAUAUCACCCACGAUCUAGUCUAACAAAGUGGGUGUGUAGUUGGGGAAACGUGUAGAAGUAGGAUAGGGGCAUGGAUAAGAAUUGGGAAACGGACUUCUGAAUUAAAAUAAUUGACCAAGCCUUGUCAACCAACUAUACCAUUCAACAACCAAUACAUUUCAUACACUUGUCGCCUCUUCCAACAAAUUGAAAGGAAAAUCAAUAAUGUUGCUCUCUCUAUCAUGUGGUUUCCUUAUCCCCUCUCCUUUUUUUUUUUUUUAAUAAAACAUCAUUCAUUACCCUAUUGAGAAUCUAGUUCUAUACAUGUCAACCAUAUAUAAAUUUUAAAUUCAUUAAAUAAUCAUUUAAAAUAUAGUUUAAAGCUAUAUCUUUUAAUCUCGA